Molecule: unclassified non-coding RNA, 235 nt
Filed under: uncultured fungus
Lineage: Eukaryota; Fungi
Description: sequence contains ITS1, 5.8S rRNA gene
Rfam family: 5.8S ribosomal RNA (bases 187-235)
Source: RNAcentral
UUUCCGUAGGUGAACCUGCGGAAGGAUCAUUACCGAGUUAGGGUUGCCUUCUAGGUGCCCGACCUCCCAACCCUUUGUGAAUCGUACUCGUUGCUUCGGGGGCGACCCUGCCGUCCGCGGCUGAGCGCCCCCGGGGUCAAUCAAACACUGCAUUCUCUGCGUCGGAGUAUUAGUAAAUCUAAUCAAAACUUUCAACAACGGAUCUCUUGGUUCUGGCAUCGAUGAAGAACGCAGC